UAAGGGUGAUAGUUUUGGUUGGUUCAUCUGAAAACCAACUGGAUUGUUUGUGAGCUCGGAAAAACAAACGGUGUAAAGUUUUGGUUGGUUCAUCUGAAAACCAACUGGGUUGUUUGUGAGCCCGGAAAAACAAAUGGUGUAAAGUUUUUGGUUGGUUUGUCUAAAAACCAACUAGGUUGUUUGUGAUCCCGAAAAACAAAAGGUUUUCGGUUGGUUGCCUAGAAAAACUAACUGGAUUUUUGAUUGUGAGCCCGGAAAACAAUCAGGCUAUAAUCUGUUGGGUUAUAGUGAAAAUCUCAAGCUAGGCUUGAGGAGUGGACGUAGGUGCUGGGAGUGCACCGAACCACUAUAAACCUUGGUAUUUGUGAUUGCAGUUAUUCUCUUUUUUUCCUCUGCAUAUUCCUUACUGCAUUCCUAACUUUUAUUAACUGUCAUAUUUGUGCAAUCUCAUUUCCGCUGCUGAAUCUAUAAGAUAUUAGUAACUCAUACUCUCCAUACGUUUAAACAUUAAUAAUUUUUUUUUUAAGAGACCCAAUUCACCCUCCCUCUUGGGCUGCACCUCUGGGCAACAAGUGGUAUCAGAGCCUGAUACUCCAGAAACUUUUUGAUCUAACAAUCAAGAGUUAAAGGUCAUGGCAACCACUAUGGGAUCCUCUGUUUCCGAAGGGUAAUCUACCAAUAGACCACCUCUUUUCAAUGGCACAAAUUUUACUUAUUGGAAAGCUCGUAUGAGAAUUUUUAUUCAAGCACUUGACUAUGACUUAUGGACUGUUAUUAUUAAUGGACCUCACACA
This 794-nucleotide long non-coding RNA is filed under the name Phoenix dactylifera (date palm). Its description in RNAcentral is "long non-coding RNA (PDAC_LNC007159)". Lineage: Eukaryota; Viridiplantae; Streptophyta; Magnoliopsida; Arecales; Arecaceae. The record is from RNAcentral.